CUCUCUAUCAUUUUUCCACUCUCCCAGUCCAGCCGCCGGCGCACAACUGCACAACACAUGCACCAGCACCGCUGUCCGCUAGAGUUUGGAGAGCCGCCUUGCGCCCUUGCCUGCCUGCCUGACGCCGACCGCGACCGCGAAUCCGUGAGAUGGUGAGAGUGGGAUCAUGACGGCCACUUCCCCUGCGAGGCUGCGAGGCGCCUGCGACCCUGCCCAAACUCGCGAGUCGCGUGGCCGCGUGGGCGAGGGCACGCGCGACACGAGGCUGGAGAGCCGGCUUUCCUGACGCCGACCGCGGCAACCUCUGCUAUUCGUCCAUGGUGGUGACGGCCGGUGAUGCUUCUUCCUCUUCCUCUUUAGUCUUAAUCCUACUGCAUACUUACAACUACAGUGAGGACGCCUGGCUGCAUGAGCUGCCGAGCUCGCCACUGUCCUUCUGUGCUAGUUGAAGCUGGUAGCUGCCUCCCGUGGAGGUUUGGAUCUGGACGGCGCAAAUCUUUUUGGAUCCGAGAGGAGGACGAGUAGCCGCUAGCCCUGUGCUCCGUCAUGGCCUCACGGGUAGAGCACUUCAUCGAUCUGAACUACCGAUCAAGAUUUUGUCAAGCACAUGGAUUUGACUUCCUUCUCCGAUGCAAAAAUGGAUCCCGGUGGUGAUGGAUGUGUUCUGAUUUAAAUUUCUGAUGUAAAUUUUUGCUAUACUGAUGUAAAUUUCUGGACAUGUGACUGGAAAUUUCUGAUGUAAAUUUUUGCUAUACUGAUGUAAAUUUUCUGGGUUUGGAAAAAAAUGAUCUGAAAUAUGUGGACUGAAACAGUUGGCUGCA
Sorghum bicolor (sorghum) is the source of this 821-nucleotide long non-coding RNA. RefSeq lists it as uncharacterized. The record is from RefSeq and is a predicted model, not a curated record. Lineage: Eukaryota; Viridiplantae; Streptophyta; Magnoliopsida; Poales; Poaceae. The transcript is spliced from 2 exons.